CUACGGGUGGCACCAGUGGGGAAUAUUGCACAAUGGAGGAAACUCUGAUGCAGCAACGCCGCGUGGAGGAUGACACUUUUCGGAGCGUAAACUCCUUUUAUAUAGGAAGAAGAUGACGGUACUAUAUGAAUAAGCGCCGGCUAACUCCGUGCCAGCAGCCGCGGUAAUACGGAGGGCGCGAGCGUUACUCGGAAUCACUGGGCGUAAAGCGCGUGUAGGCGGAUUAAAAAGUCAGAAGUGAAAUCCUAUAGCUUAACUAUAGAACUGCUUCUGAAACUCUUAAUCUAGAAUAUGGGAGAGGUAGAUGGAAUUUCUGGUGUAGGGGUAACAUCCGUAGAGAUCAGAAGGAAUACCGAUUGCGAAGGCGAUCUACUAGAACAUUAUUGACGCUGAGACGCGAAAGCGUGGGGAGCAAACAGGAUUAGAUACCCCUGUAGUC
This 439-nucleotide ribosomal RNA is filed under the name uncultured bacterium. Its description in RNAcentral is "partial 16S ribosomal RNA". It matches the Rfam family "Bacterial small subunit ribosomal RNA", at positions 339 to 795 of the family's 1533-position model. The record is from RNAcentral.